AUUGAACGCUGGCGGCAUGCCUUACACAUGCAAGUCGAACGGCAGCACGGGAGCAAUCCUGGUGGCGAGUGGCGAACGGGUGAGUAAUGUAUCGGAACGUACCUUUCAGUGGGGGAUAACGUAGCGAAAGUUACGCUAAUACCGCAUAUUCUGUGAGCAGGAAAGCAGGGGAUCGCAAGACCUUGCGCUGAUUGAGCGGCCGAUAUCAGAUUAGCUAGUUGGUGAGGUAAAGGCUCACCAAGGCGACGAUCUGUAGCGGGUCUGAGAGGAUGAUCCGCCACACUGGAACUGAGACACGAUCCAGACUCCUACGGGAGGCAGCAGUGGGGAAUUUUGGACAAUGGGCGCAAGCCUGAUCCAGCCAUGCCGCGUGAGUGAAGAAGGCCU
This 387-nucleotide ribosomal RNA is filed under the name uncultured bacterium. RNAcentral's name for it is "bacterial SSU rRNA". It matches the Rfam family "Bacterial small subunit ribosomal RNA", at positions 30 to 417 of the family's 1533-position model. The record is from RNAcentral.